This 1787-nucleotide ribosomal RNA is filed under the name Triticum aestivum (bread wheat). RNAcentral's name for it is "partial small subunit ribosomal RNA". Lineage: Eukaryota; Viridiplantae; Streptophyta; Magnoliopsida; Poales; Poaceae. The record is from RNAcentral.
ACCCCACACGCAAUCUCUCCUCUCCUCGUUUCUCUCCUCCGCCUCUUCCCCGUGGGGGGCCUUGCGGCUGCAGCGGGCUGAGAGUCAAGGGGGCGAGCAGGAUUGGGGGCCAACUGAUUCUUCGCCGGAUCUGGAGCCCAGAGGCGCCGCCGGACCGGCCUGGUGUUGACGGGGCGAUGAAGUGGUCGGAGGCGCUGGAUCGGCAGCCAAUAUGUCUGCAACGACGGCAAGACGGCGGAGAUCGGGCACGACCGGUGCUAAAGGAAUUGGCAUCGUCAGUUGAUAAUUAAGUUUGCCUCGUUAUUUAAUCUGCUGGGCAUAUUGACUCUGUGGCUAAGGCUCCAGCUUGGAAUAAUUCCAAUUUCAAACCUGGCUUCUAAUGCCCUACAAGCUAAGGUCAAACAACUUCUCGAAAAGCUAGAAUGAAGUGUAGCGAUUGCCUGAUGCAUCAGUUAAAGUUCAAACGCCAAUCACAAAACUAAGGAAAAUUUGUCCAAACAACCAAGUGGCUCCAAUGCUGAAGCUGCAAGUUUCACUCAGGUAUAGAGAUGUAUGAGGGUUUAGUACUAGCAUACUAGGUUAACUGAGGUUCAUGUAUGCUCUUUUUGUGUGUUCUACAAGUGCCGAUUUUAGUGGUGGAUUCACCUCUUGUUUUAUUUAUAUUUAUUUUUGAUUUUAGUGCUUGACCUUAGACGGCUGGAGCAAAAUGUGAGAGAUGGGCCAUCUGAUACUUACCAACUGGCCAAAUGGCGUAUUCUUAAUAAACUGCAUGACAGAAAUGAAACGAUGUACUACAAGGUGUGGAACUCCACAGCUCACACAUUCUUUUAGGCGCAAACAUAUUUCUGUUGAUGAUGUUUCUCUCAUUAUAUGGUUGUGCAACCACUUUGUUAACUCUAUUGUAUUGUAGUCUCAGAUGUGGGCGCCUUUUCAAAGUGGUUAGCUUAUUUAACCUUAUUUUGAUUUUUAAUAGGUCUGAAUAGAUAAUAUUGAGGAGUAUACACCUAUUGUUUACACACCGACUGUUGGCGCUAUUUGCCAAAAUUACAGGGGCGUGUUUAGACGGCCUCGGGGAAUGUAUUUUUGUGCAGAGGAUCAUGGUGAAAUGAUGUUCAUGGUGUACAACUGGCCAGCUGAUUAGCUAUGCAUUGGUUCUUGUCCAUUCAUUGAUUUGGUAUUCUGUAGUUCAACUCUUCAAGUGUGUCUUAAAGGGCGUCGUUCUUGCCUUCGAGCUGUCUGUCACGCCGUCGCCAUCACCUAUUCCCUCGCCACGCGGGACACAGAGAUGGGUGAGGACGCCAAUAGGAAGCUUCGUUGCCGUCGUUCUCGCCAUCGAGCCGCCAUUGCCAUCACCUAGCCCCUCGCCGCGCGGGACGCAGAGAUGGGCGAGGACACCGGGUUGCUGGUGCAGGUACUAACAUGACCAACGAGGAGGUCGUUAUUAAGCUUGUGAGUUGAUGUGACCAUUCUCUUGCAUUUCAGCAUAGUUGUCAGGAUCUUUGACAGAAUCUUUGACAUAAUAGAAUUUUACUGGAGUUCGAGGCUAUAUUAUUGAUGAGGUAUCCUGGAGAGCUGCAAGCUGCCUUUCUUGUUUUGAUUCAUGUUCCUGUUGUUUUCUCCUUGGUGAGUGUAUUAUGUGGGUAGUGUAACCAUCAUGAUCUCUGAGGCUAUGUAUAGAGUUGCAUUAUUGUUUUCUUAAAAAUAGACCCUCCAAAUUCAUGUUCUCUUAUAACUUAUCCUGUAAAUCUUCUCUGUAUUUUAAUGAAGUUUGACGUCACGCCAUUGGA